GGGCCCAUAGUUCAGUGGUAAAAUAUCUCUAUGGCAUAGAGAAGUCGCGAGUCCGACUCUCGCUGGGUCCA
RNAcentral lists this transfer RNA (71 nucleotides) under bacterium. Its description in RNAcentral is "tRNA-Ala". It matches the Rfam family "tRNA". Rfam says of the family: Transfer RNA (tRNA) molecules are approximately 80 nucleotides in length. Their secondary structure includes four short double-helical elements and three loops (D, anti-codon, and T loops). Further hydrogen bonds mediate the characteristic L-shaped molecular structure. tRNAs have two regions of fundamental functional importance: the anti-codon, which is responsible for specific mRNA codon recognition, and the 3' end, to which the tRNAs corresponding amino acid is attached (by aminoacyl-tRNA synthetases). tRNAs cope with the degeneracy of the genetic code in two manners: having more than one tRNA (with a specific anti-codon) for a particular amino acid; and 'wobble' base-pairing, i.e. permitting non-standard base-pairing at the 3rd anti-codon position. The record is from RNAcentral. RNAcentral also lists the same sequence under 2 other names.